This is a long non-coding RNA of Raphanus sativus (radish), 463 nucleotides long. RefSeq lists it as uncharacterized. The transcript has 3 exons. The record is from RefSeq and is a predicted model, not a curated record. NCBI's taxonomy places the organism in Eukaryota, Viridiplantae, Streptophyta, Magnoliopsida, Brassicales, Brassicaceae.
AGCGACACAUUCAAUCUAAACUAAAGCACACAACUUAAGCAAACAAAAUAAAUGCAACACCAAAGUUAUCAUAUACAUGUCCGAUAUCAAGCUUUACAAAACUGAAUGGUGGAUCGCAGUGAAAGUUGUUCACACCAGAUAACAAUUCAGUGAACAAUUUGGUGAGACAAUGGAACUCAUUUUCUCUGACAAGAAGGAUCAAAAAAUCAUGCAUCAUGCAAAAAACUACUUGCUUAGUUUGGGCAGGGACUUCCAUGUGGGUGAUUGGAAAAACAGAGAAUUAUUUUCACUAAGUGCAGCAGCUGGUGGAUACUAACCUACCACUCACGUUAUAAAAUGGGGUUUAUGAAGUUCACCUCCAUUACUCCAUAUAAAUUCAGUAAUAUGAUGUUGUGGAACAAGCCAUAGAUAUUGUAGAAAAAAGCCAUUAAACGUAAGUAACCACCUUCUUUAAAAAAAAACG